UAAUAAGUGUUUUAUGGCACUUUUUAAAUCCAUAUCCACCUUGUGUGCAAUGUCAGUCGAUCUUCUUCAUGGAGAUCGACCAAACAUCAACCUUUAUCUUUUAACUCUUUUGUCUGAAAAAUAUUAUGAAUAAACAAUUCAAAAUA
This 146-nucleotide unclassified non-coding RNA is filed under the name soil metagenome. Its description in RNAcentral is "partial internal transcribed spacer 1". The record is from RNAcentral.